UACGGAAGGUCCAGGCGUUAUCCGGAUUUAUUGGGUUUAAAGGGAGCGUAGGCCGUCUGUUAAGCGUGUUGUGAAAUGUAGAUGCUCAACAUCUGAAUUGCAGCGCGAACUGGCAGACUUGAGUGUGCGCAACGUAGGCGGAAUUCGUGGUGUAGCGGUGAAAUGCUUAGAUAUCACGAAGAACUCCGAUUGCGAAGGCAGCUUACGGGAGCACAACUGACGCUGAAGCUCGAAAGUGCGGGUAUCGAACAGG
RNAcentral lists this non-coding RNA (253 nucleotides) under uncultured bacterium. RNAcentral describes it as "partial 16S ribosomal RNA". It matches the Rfam family "Bacterial small subunit ribosomal RNA", at positions 524 to 776 of the family's 1533-position model. RNAcentral also lists the same sequence under 4 other names. The record is from RNAcentral.